This 237-nucleotide ribosomal RNA is filed under the name uncultured bacterium. Its description in RNAcentral is "partial 16S ribosomal RNA". It matches the Rfam family "Bacterial small subunit ribosomal RNA", at positions 100 to 334 of the family's 1533-position model. The record is from RNAcentral.
CCGGCACGAGUGAGUAACACGUAUCCAACCUGCCGUCUACUCUUGGACAGCCUUCUGAAAGGAAGAUUAAUACAAGAUGGCAUCAUGAGUCCGCAUGUUCACAUGAUUAAAGGUAUUCCGGUAGACGAUGGGGAUGCGUUCCAUUAGAUAGUAGGCGGGGUAACGGCCCACCUAGUCUUCGAUGGGUAGGGGUUCUGAGAGGAAGGUCCCCCACAUUGGAACUGAGACACGGUCCAA